This 173-nucleotide ribosomal RNA is filed under the name uncultured bacterium. RNAcentral describes it as "partial 16S ribosomal RNA". It matches the Rfam family "Bacterial small subunit ribosomal RNA", at positions 1328 to 1500 of the family's 1533-position model. The record is from RNAcentral.
GGAAUCGCUAGUAAUCGCAGAUCAGCAUGCUGCGGUGAGUACGUUCCCGGGUCUUGUACACACCGCCCGUCACACCAUGGGAGUCGGUAACACCCGAAGUCGGUAGCCUAACCGUAAGGAGGGCGCCGCCGAAGGUGGGAUUGAUGACUGGGGUGAAGUCGUAACAAGGUACC